UGAAAAUACUAAUUUCUAGCGUUUGACGAAGUCAUUAGCGUGAAAUUCACUUUCUGCAUUAACACAUUGUGUGUUUGAGUUAUGCACAGGUGACUGUUGAUUAAUGAGAACAGGUGGACAGCAGGUGCUGUGAGAAGACGAAAGGAGGACUGAAGGUUGAUUCUUCAUUCGAGGCCUUGCUUCCAGGCACGACAGCUACUACGGAAGAACUUCUCGAGAUUUUCGUUGUUUAAUUUUAGCAAGAAAUCCCAGAGGAGAUAUUGUUUGCAUUGGAUUUUAGUGUUCAACAAAGGUAACCAUUCGAGGUCACUGUCGCAAGUUUCAAGGUUGUCUUGUAGGCAACGAAAAGGACACAUCGGCGGAAUUCUGGAGGCUGACGCAGUGAUGGACAAGCAUGGAGCUUUGGAAUUUUGCCCAUACGUCGUAUCCUUAAACACAAUGGUUAAGUAUGAACAGGUCACAUUUUGCUGCAAGGAUUAGGUACAAGAUACCAGGUACAAGUUGCUUACACAUGUGCAUGUAUUUUGACAAGUUUGUUAUUGAUGUUGUAGAUUGCCUACGGAGAAGUUAUUUGUAAGAUGAUUGAGUAAGAAUACCAAUUUUGGUCACAGAGAUGCAAAGAUCGGAGUAUUUGCUUAGUCUAUCCUUUGAAAAGUGUACAGAAUUGGACAAGAAGUUAUGUUCAGCUCGAAGGCGUGUUUGCUGCAAGUGCUAAUAAAAUACACGUGGAGUAUUUACUGUACUGUUGAUUUAAUCUGUAGAUUUGUUUUUGAGAGUGAGUUUGAGCAAUAUGCCUCAUUCUUGGAAAUUCAGCUAUUUUUGCAGGCUGAUUGAGAAGUGCUUUAGGCACUUGGCCGUUAGGAAACAGUUGUUUCUGGUUGUAUCAGAGUAUUGUAUCUCUGGAGGUACCUGGCCUCGGUGUUUUGCGGCAUGGUUUAUCACUUUGGUAUGAAUUUUUUUUUGCAGGUACGGGGCCAGUAAAUGAAGAAGUGAUUUCUUGUUUAUGUUUGCACGAACAUGUUUUCAAUGUUUUUGUUUCCAUUGAAGGUUGAGUAUACAGUACAACAAGGUUUACAUGUAUUUAGAUAUUUUGUUGUAGUUUGUUUACAAGUGCAACAGCACAGCAAAUAUAUGUUCAAGACAGAAUGUGUAUCAAUUGAUAUGGUUCGCUUUUGUGCUAAUUUGAUAUUAACUAUUAUAUUCCGUUCCACAUGUUCUGAACGAUUGACUUUGGAAGGACAUGGAUAGAAUCCAGCAUCCAUAUCAGAUGUCGUUAGCGGACAACUUGAGCUACCGUCGGUAGAUUUGCCAACCAGAGCUCGAGGGGACAGUGGAAGAUCGUCUCUUUUCCAGCAGAGCCUUUAUAUGUCGCUUUGAUUUGCUUAAAGUUAUGCAGAAUACUGUUUCUCUUGCAGCGGUUGAGAAAGCUUUUUAGGUGAGCGCAUUUUCAGGCAGGAUUCGUUUCACCUACAAUUAAUAAGGUUGCAGGUAAUGCAUUUAAACGUAUGCUAGGGAAGGAGGAAAGAGGUGAUGACACCAGAUUAGUAAACUGAUGACUGUACAUGGACACAAAGAUGAUUUGGAUACUGUGAGUACAUUGACCUUGAUUUUUGUUUCGUAUGCACGUUUUCGCAGGUUUGAUGAAGCAACCAGGAUAUUGUGUUUGUAGAUUAACUUUUCUUUAUUCAUUCCAGUAAAAUUGGUCAGUACAGAGGAGGUAAUCACAAGUUCCUUUUGCCAGGACUGAUAAGAUUACUUACCCGGUUGCUAUGUUGGAGAAGUAUUGUAAGUUAUGUCACACUGAUGUCACUUCAGAUCUUUAUCUCAGUCUUUAGGGGUCUAAGUAAUUCCAGAUCUGGGCUUAAAGCUGAGACCUUCAGGAAAACUGCCCUAUACUAGUGCUAAGAGAACUAGUAAUGUGUUUGUUAAAGACUGUUGAUGAUGUUUCAGUUUUCGGUUGACAUUUUUGAGAGCAGGCGGAGCCACUGCAGCUGCGUGUGAGGGCAUCCCAGACAGAAUGUUCAAAAGGCAUUGAAAAUGGACGAGCGAAGGACGGUUACAUUAGAGAAAUUUUGAGAGCGAGAUUGGCAGUUUCUUUUUCUUUAGGUGUUUAGGUACUUUGAAUUAAUAUUUCAAUGUUUCCCUUCUUUUCCCGUUCUUUGAUCGAUCGAAAAAUAGAUGCCGUGCCUGUAGCAGACGGCUCCCCCUAAACAGUGUGUGGUGUUUUACUGUGUUGGCAUCUUGGGGAGGGAGAUACGAGGUGGUUUAAUGCAGAAAAUACUAAUUUCUAGCGUUUGACGAAGUCAUUAGCGUGAAAUUCACUUUCUGCAUUAACACAUUGUGUGUUUGAGUUAUGCACAGGUGACUGUUGAUUAAUGAGAACAGGUGGACAGCAGGUGCUGUGAGAAGACAAAAGGAGGACUGAAGGUUGAUUCUUCAUUCGAGGCCUUGCUUCCAGGCACGACAGCUACUACGGAAGAACUUCUCGAGAUUUUCGUUGUUUAAUUUUAGCAAGAAAUCCCAGAGGAGAUAUGGUUUGCAUUGGGCUCUGGUGUACGUCCCCUAUUUUUUUGGCCUUUGUCAUGGAAGGUUUUUUUGGGGGUUGCGUAGCCGGCAAACAAUUUAGUCAGUUUGACUUGAUCAUUUCUUCCGAGUUCAUAUUUGUGUCGACUGUUAUUACAGUAAUCUCGGAGUGUUUUCAUGUGUUGAAAGUUGUACUUUGCUGAUUGUUUCGAUAUACUAUUGUGUAUUCAGCGGAAGGAAAAAAUUGAGUUUUUCAUUAAAUUCCAUACCGUGGCGUGCCUGUAGCAGACGGCUCCCCCUAAA
Molecule: long non-coding RNA, 2826 nt
Organism: Branchiostoma floridae (Florida lancelet)
Lineage: Eukaryota; Metazoa; Chordata; Leptocardii; Amphioxiformes; Branchiostomatidae
Exons: 2
Source: RefSeq, a predicted model, not a curated record